Molecule: long non-coding RNA, 829 nt
Organism: Gallus gallus (chicken)
Lineage: Eukaryota; Metazoa; Chordata; Aves; Galliformes; Phasianidae
Source: Ensembl
GUGAGUUUUUGUCUUUAUGAUUAAAUAGGACGCUGUGUUAGAGUGAGACUGCACUAUGGUGUGCACUUGUUUAAAGGAAGUGGCAGCUUGUAGCAGAUGAUGCCUUGCAAUGAACUGCGUGUGGUCAAAGACUUAUUCCAAAAGCAGUUCCUUGUAUUUCUUCUUGUAUGGGAACUGCUGAAUCACAGCCUAAGCCACUGAUUGAGCACCUGGGGAAAGGACCCAGUCAGCCCUGGGAGCACAAGUGAAGGCAAUGCAGCUGUGGGACAGGAAGGGGUGGAGCCUGGCUGCACCUCUCCUAGACCCCAUUUAAGGGCUGAGUGCCACUGGGGAAGGAUUUCUGAUUGGAGGUUUCUUCUUUGUGGAGUCUUUCCUGGGAGGUGAGGUCUUCAGAGAUGGUAGAAGAUUAAAAGUCUGAAUUGUACAAAUGACACUCCUGGUUGCCAAGAAAGCUUUGAUCUUGAUAAUGACAGGAUGCGAUGGCUGGAAGCUGUAGCUCACAGGAUUCAUAUGAGAAGCAAGGAAUCAAGCUGUUCAGAAUGAGCCACAGACCUUGCUGAUGUGACUGCACAUUUACGGUAAUAUAAACUAAUUUAUAGUACAUAUGGAAAGGAGACUUCAUUUGGAUUUGGCAAUGGAACAAAAACACUCAUGUAUCUGGACUAAAUCUCAUAGAAUCACAGAGCAUCCUGAGCUGGAAAGGACCCAUGAGGAUCACUGAGUCCGACUCCACGCAGGACAACCUAAGAACGAAACCAGCUUCCUGCUGUUCUGUAGGAGGAGAACAGUUUGUGGAGUGCAUGUGCAGACAAAACCGCUGUGAUCCACA